CGCCCCCGACUGCGCGCCCCAAGCCAUCCUCCGGGACAAAAGUGGCGGCGGGGCUGGGGAGAGGGUUGAACUCGUAUCGGGAGUUGCGGCGACUUUGCCGGGUGGUGCGGCUGCGGCGGCCGGGCCUCGGCGCCGCGGGACCCGCUUGCCGGACGCGCCCUAGGGGCGCGCAGCACUUCGAGUUCCUGUCCCAAUUCUGCAGACGAACGCAAUUUACUCCGGCUUUACAGGUAAUGCUGAUUGGUUAUCCUGAGGCCAAUUGCCAGAGACUGACUCUGCUUCAUUCGCUCUCCGUAGGACCUUCUCUGAAGUACACUUCACCGGUCUCCAGCCAUUGUCCUCCUGGGAGUCCAGGUUGUCUCCCAUGUGAAUCUGAAGCCCAGAGUUCAUGGCAGGGCUUCUGAAAUCCUUCCCUCUCCAAGAGCUUCCUGGUUCUUGCCCCUCCUGAGUUCUGGGUCUUUAGUGUUGCUUGGAUUUCAGCACAUCUUCAGUUUGCUUAAGUACAUCCAGAUUCAUCCAGAAGAACCUUAACCAGCUCAGACUGAACAGAGCGAGGGAGCUACGACAACUUUGGCCACUUUAUAGACGAGGAACGUGACGUCCCGAGAGGUGAAGUGACAUGACUGAGGCCCCGCAGCUGGUAGCAAUGGAGCCAGCCACCCAAGCCAGGUCCAUUCGACCCCAUGUCCACACUCAGGACUUGCUGCUCACAGGCUUUUGAUGCUGAGUCAUUUCCUGUUCAUUUGACGCACGAUGCUUUAUAAAAGGUAAUUAAAACAAGAGAAGAGGAGAGGUCAGCUGGGGAAAGGGUUACAAGAGCGACAUCAAGACAAGCAAAAUGGUUUUGAAGCUGAGGGUCCCGGGGAGGCUCAGUCGGUGACGGGUCUGACUUCGGCUCACGUCCUGAUCUCACGGCUCAUGUGUUCGAGGCCCGCAUUGGGCCCACUGCUCUCACAGAGUUGGCUUCAGAUCCUCUGUCCCCCAGUCUCUCUGCCCCUCCCCAGCUCCCUCUUUCUC
Suricata suricatta (meerkat) is the source of this 1017-nucleotide long non-coding RNA. RefSeq lists it as uncharacterized. The transcript is spliced from 4 exons. The record is from RefSeq and is a predicted model, not a curated record. Lineage: Eukaryota; Metazoa; Chordata; Mammalia; Carnivora; Herpestidae.